Molecule: transfer RNA, 76 nt
Filed under: Oxalobacter vibrioformis
Lineage: Bacteria; Pseudomonadati; Pseudomonadota; Betaproteobacteria; Burkholderiales; Oxalobacteraceae
Description: tRNA-Ile
Rfam family: tRNA
About the family: Transfer RNA (tRNA) molecules are approximately 80 nucleotides in length. Their secondary structure includes four short double-helical elements and three loops (D, anti-codon, and T loops).
Source: RNAcentral
GCACGAUUAGCUCAGUUGGUAGAGCAUAGACUUGAUAAGUCUGUGGCCGGUUGUUCGAGUCACCCAUCGUGUACCA